Molecule: ribosomal RNA, 438 nt
Filed under: uncultured bacterium
Lineage: Bacteria
Description: partial 16S ribosomal RNA
Rfam family: Bacterial small subunit ribosomal RNA
Source: RNAcentral
CUACGGGCGGCAGCAGUGAGGAAUAUUGCACAAUGGGGGGAACCCUGAUGCAGCAACGCCGCGUGGAGGAUGACGCAUUUCGGUGUGUAAACUCCUUUUAUAUGUCAAGAAAAUGACGGUAGCAUAUGAAUAAGCACCGGCUAACUCCGUGCCAGCAGCCGCGGUAAUACGGAGGGUGCAAGCGUUACUCGGAAUCACUGGGCGUAAAGGACGCGUAGGCGGGUUGGAAAGUCAGGUGUGAAAUCCUACAGCUUAACUGUAGAACUGCACUUGAAACUUCUAAUCUAGAGUAUGGGAGGGGGAGAUGGAAUUAGUGGUGUAGGGGUAAAAUCCGUAGAUAUCACUAGGAAUACCUAAAGCGAAGGCGAUCUCCUGGAACAUAACUGACGCUAAGGCGUGAAAGCGUGGGGAGCAAACAGGAUUAGAUACCCCAGUGUC